AAUGCAAAUAUUUAAAAUAAUUGAGAUUUCACUAUCAUUAAACGAGAGUUACUCGAAUGAGCUAUUUUUAGCAGUGGCAAAAUAGAUAAAUAACUUGAAAUAACUUGAAAACACGUAUAAGAAUAAGAAAUCGUAAAGCUACCGUACGUCGCAUCGUUUAUAAUAAUCAUAUGCAUAUGCGCGUUGGUAUUCGUUCGGAUUCCGUGAUUAAUGCGAGGGGAGCGGAGGGGGACUCUCUAUUAAUCUUCGUCGUUUAAGGUGAUCAGUUCCGUCCGGCUUAUUACGAGUCCGGGCGUUCAGUUCUUGUCACCGGGGACGUUUUCGAACGGAAUUUCAAAAAUCUCCCCAAUCGGUUAUAAAUCAAAAUAAAUUCUCCGAUCCCGGUGAUUCGAUCGCGGC
Non-coding RNA from Cinara cedri, 399 nucleotides. The record is from the annotation of a GenBank genome assembly. NCBI's taxonomy places the organism in Eukaryota, Metazoa, Arthropoda, Insecta, Hemiptera, Aphididae.